Molecule: long non-coding RNA, 1078 nt
Organism: Esox lucius (northern pike)
Lineage: Eukaryota; Metazoa; Chordata; Actinopteri; Esociformes; Esocidae
Exons: 3
Source: RefSeq, a predicted model, not a curated record
CUCUCCACCUCUCAAUUCCAGAGAACAAACUCAACUCUACUACAACUAAUACCAACUGCCACAUCAACUACUUUAGACUAUUACACAAGAUCUAGUAAUACAGCUACUUCUACACAAAGAUGUGCGCAGCGAUGAGGGUAGUGGUCCUACUCUUCCUGCUGUCUCUCUGGGCUGGAGCUGGGAUGGGGAUGACAACGAAUCAACUGUCUACAGUGGUGAAGUACAUGACAGACGGUCAGAAGCAGGUACAGUAUGCCAUGGCAACCGGUCUACCCAAAACUACAUGCCAAGAUGGAAAAAUGACAUUCAUAAGACCUCCAGCUUUGGAGAAAGAGCAAUUAUUCACCAGUGUUGAGUUGAUCGCAGCCCGUCCUACAGGAAAACAGGGGAAAAUGACACACUCAGAGUAUCGUCUCCUUGUUGGGGGAAAGAAUGGGCUGAUGAAAACACUGAAGAAUCAAGAAUGUGUGGUCUUCUAUAGCUAUAACUCACCCUGCAUUGAAAAAUGCAUUAUUGAUCAAAACUGUAACAUUAUUCAGUUCCUUCCUGAAGUCUUCAGCGGGGUCGACCAAAAUUAUAAGGCCUUUGUUUUCACCAAACUCUAUGCCCCUCAGUGCCAGACACUGCCCACUAGAGCUGAGGUGUAUGCAUCUUUCAAAACAAUUAAUGCCAUCCUCCCUCUGUAUAGAUGUGAUCAAAAUGUGUGCUUUCAGUGUGGUCAUAGAGAGAUGAUCCCUGAUGACCCCUGUUUACGUGGAUAUCCACAGACGUAAAGAAGCUGACCUGAAGACACAUCCCAGAUCUGUAGUGCAAAUAAAUACCUUUUUCUUCCACUCCUCUCCUCCUUUUCCAAACUCACGUUCCUUGUUCUCACUCCUUCACCUCUUUUCACUUAUCACCUCUGGACCUUGUCCAUCCUUUGCAUCUAAACUUCUACUUGGAUACUUUGUUUGAUCUGGCAGAAAAGCAUACGUGUGAACUUACGGCUGUGCCAUUCAGAUUCCCUUGAUGUGGGUGUAUUUUGUACGUUACAGUAUCAGUUCAAUAAAGGGCAUUAUAGCAGCCAAAUGACACGGUC